UCUCCCUCUCUCUCUCAGUCUCUUGAUCUCUCAAGUCUCGACGGUGCCUUUGACCUCUCCCUCCCCUCCUCUCCCGCUCCUUCGAAUGCCCUGCUUCUCCCUCUCCAUCGCAUGAUAUGCUCGUCGGUGGUUGGACCCCGACACCAACAUGGUGGAUGAAGGAGAUCCUCUUUCGCUCUCAGUCUCUCGAUCUCUCUCUCUCUGUCUUUCAAUCUCCCGCUC
Molecule: long non-coding RNA, 222 nt
Filed under: Elaeis guineensis (African oil palm)
Lineage: Eukaryota; Viridiplantae; Streptophyta; Magnoliopsida; Arecales; Arecaceae
Description: long non-coding RNA (EGUI_LNC039184)
Source: RNAcentral